Molecule: transfer RNA, 76 nt
Filed under: Paenibacillus polymyxa
Lineage: Bacteria; Bacillati; Bacillota; Bacilli; Caryophanales; Paenibacillaceae
Description: tRNA-Phe
Rfam family: tRNA
About the family: Transfer RNA (tRNA) molecules are approximately 80 nucleotides in length. Their secondary structure includes four short double-helical elements and three loops (D, anti-codon, and T loops). Further hydrogen bonds mediate the characteristic L-shaped molecular structure. tRNAs have two regions of fundamental functional importance: the anti-codon, which is responsible for specific mRNA codon recognition, and the 3' end, to which the tRNAs corresponding amino acid is attached (by aminoacyl-tRNA synthetases). tRNAs cope with the degeneracy of the genetic code in two manners: having more than one tRNA (with a specific anti-codon) for a particular amino acid; and 'wobble' base-pairing, i.e. permitting non-standard base-pairing at the 3rd anti-codon position.
Source: RNAcentral
GGCUCGGGAGCUCAGUCGGUAGAGCAGAGGACUGAAAAUCCUCGUGUCGGCGGGUCGAUUCCGUCCCGAGCCACCU